Molecule: unclassified non-coding RNA, 350 nt
Filed under: soil metagenome
Description: partial contains 5.8S ribosomal RNA, internal transcribed spacer 2, and large subunit ribosomal RNA
Rfam family: 5.8S ribosomal RNA (bases 1-120)
Source: RNAcentral
GAUGAAGAACGUAGCGAAAUGCGAUAUGUAAUGUGAAUUGCAGAAUUCAGUGAAUCAUCGAGUCUUUGAACGCACAUUGCGCCCCCUGGUAUUCCGGGGGGCAUGCCUGUCCGAGCGUCAUUGCUGCCCUCAAGCACGGCUUGUGUGUUGGGCCCCCGUCCCCGGUUCUCCCCGGGGACGGGCCCGAAAGGCAGCGGCGGCACCGCGUCCGAUCCUCGAGCGUAUGGGGCUUUGUCACCCGCUCUGUAGGCCCGGCCGGCGCCAGCCGACACCCCAACUUUAUUUUCUAAGGUUGACCUCGGAUCAGGUAGGGAUACCCGCUGAACUUAAGCAUAUCAAUAAGCGGAGGA